RNAcentral lists this ribosomal RNA (466 nucleotides) under uncultured bacterium. Its description in RNAcentral is "bacterial SSU rRNA". It matches the Rfam family "Bacterial small subunit ribosomal RNA", at positions 330 to 794 of the family's 1533-position model. The record is from RNAcentral.
UCCAGACUCCUACGGGAGGCAGCAGUGAGGAAUAUUGGUCAAUGGCCGAAGGGCUGAACCAGCCAAGCCGCGUGAAGGAAUAAGGCCCUACGGGUCGUAAACUUCUUUAGUCAGGGAACAAAGGGUGCCACGUGUGGCGCUGUGAGUGUACCUGAAGAAUAAGCAUCGGCUAACUCCGUGCCAGCAGCCGCGGUAAUACGGAGGAUGCGAGCGUUAUCCGGAUUUAUUGGGUUUAAAGGGUGCGCAGGCGGCUUGUUAGGUCAGCGGUAAAAGCCCGGGGCUCACCCCCGGCGAGCCGUUGAAACUGGCGGGCUGGAGUUGGAGAGAAGUACGCGGAAUGCGCGGUGUAGCGGUGAAAUGCUUAGAUAUCGCGCAGAACCCCGAUUGCGAAGGCAGCGUACCGGCUCCACACUGACGCUGAGGCACGAAAGCGUGGGUAUCGAACAGGAUUAGAUACCCGCGUAGU